This 860-nucleotide ribosomal RNA is filed under the name Aureoboletus clavatus. RNAcentral describes it as "eukaryotic LSU rRNA". It matches the Rfam family "Eukaryotic large subunit ribosomal RNA", at positions 66 to 923 of the family's 3401-position model. The record is from RNAcentral. Lineage: Eukaryota; Fungi; Basidiomycota; Agaricomycetes; Boletales; Boletaceae.
UAACAAGGAUUCCCCUAGUAACUGCGAGUGAAGCGGGAAGAGCUCAAAUUUUGAAUCUGGCAGUCUUUGGCUGUCCGAGUUGUAAUCUAGAGAAGUGUUUUCCGCGCUGGACCGUGUAAAAGUCUCCUGGAAGGGAGCGUCAUAGAGGGUGAGAAUCCCGUCUCUGACACGGACUACCAGUGCUAUGUGAUGCGCUCUCAACGAGUCGAGUUGUUUGGGAAUGCAGCUCAAAAUGGGUGGUAAAUUCCAUCUAAAGCUAAAUACAGGCGAGAGACCGAUAGCGAACAAGUACCGUGAGGGAAAGAUGAAAAGAACUUUGGAAAGAGAGUUAAACAGUACGUGAAAUUGCUGAAAGGGAAACGCUUGAUGUCAGUCACAUCAACUAGGGAUCAACCUUGCUUUGUGGCUGGGUGCAUUUCCUGGUCGAUGGGUCAGCAUCAGUUUUGGUUGCUGUACAAUGAUAAAGGGAAUGUGGCACUCUUUGGAGUGUGUUAUAGCCUUUCAUCGUAUGCAGUGGUCGGAACUGAGGAACUCGGCACGACUUCCGGGUUUGUGUCUAGGAUGCUGGCAUAAUGGCCUUAAGCGACCCGUCUUGAAACACGGACCAAGGAGUCUAACAUGCCUGCGAGUGUUUGGGUGGUAAACCCGGGUGCGUAAUGAAAGUGAAAGUCGAGACCUCUGUCAUGGAGGGCACCGACGCCCGGACCUGAGUCUUUGACGACGGAUCUGCGGUAGAGCAUGUAUGUUGGGACCCGAAAGAUGGUGAACUAUGCCUGAAUAGGGUGAAGCCAGAGGAAACUCUGGUGGAGGCUCGUAGCGAUUCUGACGUGCAAAUCGAUCGUCGAAUUUGGGUAUAGGGG